UUGAUCCGGCUUCAGGAUGAACGCUGGCGGCGUGCCUAAUACAUGCAAGUCCGAGCGAAUUGAUUAAGAGCUGCUCUUAUGAGUUAGCCGCGACGGGUGGGUAAAACGGGUUAACUGCAUAAGUAAGACUGGGAUACUCCGGAAACCGGGGCUAUACCGGAAAUAUUUGAAACUGCAUGGUUCGAAAUGAAAGCGCUCGGCUGUCACUUAUGGAGACCCGCGUGGAUUAGCUAGUGGUGAGGUAACGGCUCACCAACGGCACGAUGCGUACCGACCUGAGAGAGUGUGAUCGGCCACACUGGGACUGAGACACGGCCAGUCUACGGGAGGCAGCAGUAUGGAAUCUUCCGCAAUGGACCGAAGUCUGACGAGCAAGCGCCCGUGAGUGAUGAAGGCUUUCGGGUCGUAAACUCUGUUUGUAGGAAAGAACAAAGUGAGUUGAAUAAAGGGGCACCUUGACGUAACCUAACCAGAAAGCCACGGCCUAACUACGUGGCCAGCAGCCGCGGUAUACGUAGGUGGCAAGCGUUAUCCGGACUUAUUGGGGUAAAGCGCGCCGCAGGUGGUUUCUUAAGUCUGAUGUUGAAAGCCCACGAGCUCAACCUGGAGGUCAUUGGAAACUGGAGACUUGCUGCAGAGAGGAAGAGUGGAAUUCAUGUGUAGCGGUGAAAUCGUAGAGAUAUGGAGGAACACCAGUGGCGAAGGCGACUUUCCUGGUCUGUAACUGACACUGAGCGCGAAAGCGUGGGGAGCAAACAGGAAUUAGAUACCCUGGUAUGUCCACGCCGGUAACGAUGCAGUGCUCAAGUGUUGAGGGUUUCGCCGCCCUUUUAUGCUGAAGUUAACGCAUUAAGCACUUCCGCCUGGGGAGUACGGCCGCAAGCUGAAACUCAAAGGAAUUGAGGGGGGCCCGCACAACGGUGGAGCAUGUGGUUGAAUUCGAAAGCAACGCGAAGAACCUACCAGGUCUGCAUCCUCUGAACCCUAGAGAAGGGGCUUCUCCUUCAGGAGCAGAGUGACAGUGGUGCGUGGUUGUCGUCAGCUUACGUGUCGUGAGAUGUGGGUUAAGUCCCGCACGAGCGCAACCCUUGAUCUUAGUUGCCAUCAUUAAGGUUGGGCACUCUAAGGUGACUUGCCUGACACGGAGGAAGGUGGGAUGACGUCAAAUCAUCAUGACCCUUAUGACCGGGGGACCUGGGUACACACGUGCUACAAUGGCACGGUACAAAGAGUGCAAGACCGCGAGGUGGAGCUAAUCUCAUAAAACCGUUCUCAGUUCGGAUUGAUAGGCUGCAACUCGCCUACAUGAAGCUGGAAUCGCUUAGUAAUCGGUCAAUCAGGCAUGCCGCGGUGAAUCGUUCCGGCGCCUUUGUACACACCGCCUCACACCACGAGAGUUUGUAGACCACCCGAAGUCGGUGGGGUAACUUUUGGAGCCAGCCGCCUAAGGUUGGGACAGAUGAUUGGGUGAAGUUUCAGUCGUAACAAGGGUAGCCGUAGCGGAAGGUGGGCGGGUGGAUCACCUCCGUUUCU
RNAcentral lists this ribosomal RNA (1533 nucleotides) under Bacillus sp. UFRGS-B20. Its description in RNAcentral is "bacterial SSU rRNA". It matches the Rfam family "Bacterial small subunit ribosomal RNA". Lineage: Bacteria; Bacillati; Bacillota; Bacilli; Caryophanales; Bacillaceae. The record is from RNAcentral.